Long non-coding RNA from Salvelinus fontinalis (brook trout), 277 nucleotides. RefSeq lists it as uncharacterized. The transcript is spliced from 5 exons. NCBI's taxonomy places the organism in Eukaryota, Metazoa, Chordata, Actinopteri, Salmoniformes, Salmonidae. The record is from RefSeq and is a predicted model, not a curated record.
CCCAGGUCAGGUACGUGGGUUUGGUGGGAAAUGACCCCCAGGUCAGGUAGGUGGGUUGGGUGGGUGGAAAAUGACCCCAGGUCAGGUAGUCGGGAUGGGUGGGAACAACCCCAGGUCAGGUAGGUGGGUUGGGUGGGUGGAAAAUGACCCCAGGUCAGGUAGGUGGGUUGGGUGGGUGGAAAAUGACCCCAGGUCAGGUAGUCGGGUUGGGUGGGAACAACCCCAGGUCAGGUAGUCGGGUUGGGUGGGAACAACCCCAGGUCAGGUAGUCGGGUUG